GACGAACGCUGGCGGCGUGCUUAACACAUGCAAGUCGAACGGAAAGGCCCUGCUUUUGUGGGGUGCUCGAGUGGCGAACGGGUGAGUAACACGUGAGUAUCCUGCCCUUGACUUUGGGAUAACUUCAGGAAACUGGGGCUCAUACCGGAUAGGAGCUCCUGCUGCAUGGUGGGGGUUGGAAAGUUUCGGCGGUUGGGGAUGGACUCGCGGCUUAUCAGCUUGUUGGUGGGGUAGUGGCUUACCAAGGCUUUGACGGGUAGCCGGCCUGAGAGGGUGAACGGCCACAAUGGGACUGAGAUACGGCCCAGACUCCUACGGGAGGCAGCAGUGGGGAAUAUUGCACAAUGGGCGGAAGCCUGAGGCAGCAACGCCGCGUGCGGGAUGACGGCCUUCGGGUUGUAAACCGCUUUCGCCGGUGACGAAGCGUGAGUGACGGUAAUGGGUAAAGAAGCACCGGCUAACUACGUG
This 468-nucleotide ribosomal RNA is filed under the name uncultured bacterium. Its description in RNAcentral is "partial 16S ribosomal RNA". It matches the Rfam family "Bacterial small subunit ribosomal RNA", at positions 28 to 507 of the family's 1533-position model. The record is from RNAcentral.